This 467-nucleotide ribosomal RNA is filed under the name uncultured bacterium. Its description in RNAcentral is "partial 16S ribosomal RNA". It matches the Rfam family "Bacterial small subunit ribosomal RNA", at positions 29 to 507 of the family's 1533-position model. The record is from RNAcentral.
ACGAACGCUGGCGGCGUGCUUAACCCAUGCAAGUCGAACGGAAAGGCCCUGCUUUUGUGGGGUGCUCGAGUGGCGAACGGGUGAGUAACACGUGAGUAACCUGCCCUUGACUUUGGGAUAACUUCAGGAAACUGGGGCUAAUACCGGAUAGGAGCUCCUGCUGCAUGGUGGGGGUUGGAAAGUUUCGGCGGUUGGGGAUGGACUCGCGGCUUAUCAGCUUGUUGGUGGGGUAGUGGCUUACCAAGGCUUUGACGGGUAGCCGGCCUGAGAGGGUGACCGGCCACAUUGGGACUGAGAUACGGCCCAGACUCCUACGGGAGGCAGCAGUGGGGAAUAUUGCACAAUGGGCGAAAGCCUGAUGCAGCAACGCCGCGUGCGGGAUGACGGCCUUCGGGUUGUAAACCGCUUUCGCCUGUGACGAAGCGUGAGUGACGGUAAUGGGUAAAGAAGCACCGGCUAACUACGUG